Molecule: ribosomal RNA, 253 nt
Filed under: uncultured bacterium
Lineage: Bacteria
Description: partial 16S ribosomal RNA
Rfam family: Bacterial small subunit ribosomal RNA
Source: RNAcentral
UACGAAGGGGGCUAGCGUUGCUCGGAAUCACUGGGCGUAAAGGGUGCGUAGGCGGGUCUUUAAGUCAGGGGUGAAAUCCUGGAGCUCAACUCCAGAACUGCCUUUGAUACUGAAGAUCUUGAGUUCGGGAGAGGUGAGUGGAACUGCGAGUGUAGAGGUGAAAUUCGUAGAAAUUCGCAAGAACACCAGUGGCGAAGGCGGCUCACUGGCCCGAUACUGACGCUGAGGCACGAAAGCGUGGGGAGCAAACAGG